UUCCGGUUGAUCCCGCCGGACCUGACUGCUAUCGGAUUGAUACUAAGCCAUGCGAGUCUUUGUAGUAAUACAAGGCAGACGGCUCAGUAACACGUAGUCAACCUACCCUAUGGACGAGAAUAAUCUCGGGAAACUGAGCAUAAUUCUUGAUAGAUCAUAAUGCCUGGAAUGGUUUAUGGUUAGAAUGAUUCGUCGCCAUAGGAUGGGACUGCGGCCUAUCAGCUUGUUGGUGAGGUAAUGGCCCACCAAGGCGAUUACAGGUACGGGCUCUGAGAGGAGAAGCCCGGAGAUGGGUACUGAGACACGGACCCAGGCCCUAUGGGGCGCAGCAGGCGAGAAAACUUUGCAAUGUGCGAAAGCACGACAAGGUUAAUCCGAGUGAUUUCUGCUAAAGAAAUCUUUUGCCAGUCGUAAAACCGCUGGUGAAUAAGGGGUGGGCAAGUUCUGGUGUCAGCCGCCGCGGUAAAACCAGCACCUCAAGUGGUCAGGAUGAUUAUUGGGCCUAAAGCAUCCGUAGCCGGCUUUGUAAGUUUUCGGUUAAAUCCAUGUGCUCAACGCAUGGGCUGCCGAAAAUACUGCAUAGCUAGGGAGUGGAAGAGGUAGACGGUACUCAGUAGGUAGGGGUAAAAUCCUUUGAUCUAUUGAUGACCACCUGUGGCGAAGGCGGUCUACCAGAACACGUUCGACGGUGAGGGAUGAAAGCUGGGGGAGCAAACCGGAUUAGAUACCCGGGUAGUCCCAGCUGUAAACGAUGCAGACUCGAUGAUGCAUUGGCAUAAUAGCCAUUGCAGUGUCGCAGGGAAGCCGUUAAGUCUGCCGCCUGGGAAGUACGUACGCAAGUAUGAAACUUAAAGGAAUUGGCGGGGGAGCACCACAAGGGGUGAAGCCUGCGGUUCAAUUGGACUCAACGCCGGA
Molecule: ribosomal RNA, 915 nt
Filed under: uncultured archaeon
Lineage: Archaea
Description: bacterial SSU rRNA
Rfam family: Archaeal small subunit ribosomal RNA
Source: RNAcentral